Molecule: non-coding RNA, 163 nt
Filed under: Streptococcus pyogenes
Lineage: Bacteria; Bacillati; Bacillota; Bacilli; Lactobacillales; Streptococcaceae
Source: RNAcentral
ACAGGGGCGAACGAGGGAUUAUGUUUCGAUUAAGGUAACAUUACUUACGAAAAGCGUCUAAGAUGGUUUUAAAUUCUUCAUUAGUAAGAGUAAUGCCUUUCCCCAUUUUCGUAUGGUCUGGACUCCACGUGCGGAUAUCCCAUUUCGCUUCUGCGCCAUUAAA